CCUACGGGCGGCAGCAGUGGGGGAUAUUGCACAAUGGGGGGAACCCUGAUGCAGCGACGCCGCGUGGGUGAAGAAGCGCCUCGGCGCGUAAAGCCCUGUCAGCAGGGAAGAAAAUGACGGUACCUGAAGAAGACGCCACGGCUAACUACGUGCCAGCAGCCGCGGUAAUACGUAGGGGGCAAGCGUUAUCCGGAUUUACUGGGUGUCAAGGGGGCGCAGGCGGCGAGGCACGCCAGGAGUGAAAGCCCGGGGGCGAACCCCGGGACUGCUCUGGGAGCUGCGUGGCUGGAGUGCAGGAGGGGCAGGCGGAAUUCCUGGUGUAGCGGUGAAAUGCGUAGAUAGCAGGAGGAACACCGGUGGCGAAGGCGGCCUGCUGGACUGCAACUGACGUUGAGGCCCGAAAGCGUGGGGAGCAAACAGGAUUAGAUACCCUUGUAGUC
Molecule: ribosomal RNA, 440 nt
Filed under: uncultured bacterium
Lineage: Bacteria
Description: partial 16S ribosomal RNA
Rfam family: Bacterial small subunit ribosomal RNA
Source: RNAcentral